GACGAACGCUGGCGGCGUGCUUAACACAUGCGAGUCGAACGGAAAGGCCCUGCUUUUGUGGGGUGCUCGAGUGGCGAACGGGUGAGUAACACGUGAGUAACCUGCCCUUGACUUUGGGAUAACUUCAGGAAACUGGGGCUAAUACCGGAUAGGAGCUCCUGCUGCAUGGUGGGGGUUGGAAAGUUUCGGCGGUUGGGGAUGGACUCGCGGCUUAUCAGCUUGUUGGUGGGGUAGUGGCUUACCACGGCUUUGACGGGUAGCCGGCCUGAGAGGGUGACCGGCCACAUUGGGACUGAGAUACGGCCCAGACUCCUACGGGAGGCAGCAGUGGGGAAUAUUGCACAAUGGGCGGAAGCCUGAUGCAGCAACGCCGCGUGCGGGAUGACGGCCUUCGGGUUGGAAACCGCUUUCGCCUGUGACGAAGCGUGAGUGACGGUAAUGGGUAAAGAAGCACCGGCUAACUACGUG
Molecule: ribosomal RNA, 468 nt
Filed under: uncultured bacterium
Lineage: Bacteria
Description: partial 16S ribosomal RNA
Rfam family: Bacterial small subunit ribosomal RNA
Source: RNAcentral